AAAUUCGGUGAUGAUUGAGUUCUUUGUCUUAGACUUACAUGAACCUAAUUUUUAGGGAUGGUGAUUACUAAGAAAGAACAAAGUUGAUGUAGUUGAAUAUUAUCUGAUCAGAAUUUGGAGAUGCAGCACAAGCAGAUCAGAUUAUAGGGGCGCGGAUGGAGGCUAAUCAAACUAUAAUAAUCCUCUCCGGCUCCCAACGAGUAGGAGCUCCUAGAAAUUUUACAAAUUUCUUCCUGGUAAUUACAAUUUUUUCUUAUUGACAGAUAAGACAUGGAGUAUAAAAAAAAAAUGCCAAUUCCCAAAAUAGGCCUUCGUUUGCAUCUUGGCUUCCAACAAUCAAACUGAUAGUUUUUGGCAGAUUAUAUUAGUUGUAUAACUCUGUUGAUCUUGUUACUCAAAAUGUUUUCUGAGGGAGCUGAGCAGAAAAAGAAGGAAGAACGAAAGGAUCAUGCAAUAGAAUUUCGAGUCAUUGAAAAGAGGGAAGGAAUGGGGUCUGAUUUAGAGUUUGCAAACUUAAAAUCGAGAGUUGAUUCUUUAGGGGCAGCCAUGCAGGAGAUAGUAGCUGAAUAAAAGAAAAUGUCAAGUAUCUCCAAAACCAACGAUAAGAACAUAAGAAGAGAUUGCAGCUUUCAGAUGUUGGUUUGAAUGCCAAAAAAGCCACUGGUAACGACCCUACUAGGAUGAAGUUGGAAGAGCCAGCAUUGAACUCAGUUAUUGAAGCUGCUAAACAGAACCCAGAAGUAAAUGCCAGCGUUGGAGGCAUUACUUGAGAGUGUCUUUGGUUGAUUAAGUUGACUUACCCACCAUGGAUUUGCUUCUUGGGCUUUCACAGUCAAUAAAGUUUUGGACAACUCUGAGGAGUGAAUUAACUGUAAAUAAUGUUUCUCUGCUAUCAUCUCUCUUCCUCUCUUGAUUGCUUCUGUACAUAUGUAUGUGUAUAUAAAUAUUUCUUCUUCAUCAAA
Camellia sinensis is the source of this 962-nucleotide non-coding RNA. NCBI's taxonomy places the organism in Eukaryota, Viridiplantae, Streptophyta, Magnoliopsida, Ericales, Theaceae. The record is from RefSeq and is a predicted model, not a curated record.